RNAcentral lists this ribosomal RNA (1479 nucleotides) under uncultured bacterium. RNAcentral describes it as "bacterial SSU rRNA". It matches the Rfam family "Bacterial small subunit ribosomal RNA". The record is from RNAcentral.
AGAGUUUGAUCCUGGCUCAGGACGAACGCUGGCGGCGUGCCUAACACAUGCAAGUCGAGCGGGGAAGGCCUUCGGGCCUUUCCAGCGGCGGACGGGUGAGUAACGCGUGAGCAACCUUUCCUUCACAGGGGGAUAACGCAGCGAAAGCUGUGCUAAUACCGCUUAAGACCACGGUGUUGCAUGACACAGGGGUCAAAGGAGAAAUCCGGUGAAGGGUGGGCUCGCGUCUGAUUAGCUGGUUGGCGGGGUAACGGCCCACCAAGGCGACGAUCAGUAGCCGACCUGAGAGGGUGAUCGGCCACACUGGGACUGAGACACGGCCCAGACUCCUACGGGAGGCAGCAGUGGGGAAUAUUGGGCAAUGGGGGAAACCCUGACCCAGCAACGCCGCGUGAGGGAAGAAGGUUUUCGGGAUCGUAAACCUCUGUCCUCAGGGACGAAGAAAUGACGGUACCUGAGGAGGAAGCCCCGGCUAACUACGUGCCAGCAGCCGCGUAAUACGUAGGGGGCAAGCGUUGUCCGGAAUGAUUGGGCGUAAAGGGCGCGUAGGCGGCCUGUUAAGUCUGGAGUGAAAGUCCUGCUUUCAAGGUGGGAAUUGCUUUGGAAACUGGCGGGCUGGAGUGCAGGAGAGGUUAGCGGAAUUCCCGGUGUAGCGGUGAAAUGCGUAGAGAUCGGGAGGAACACCAGUGGCGAAGGCGGCUAACUGGACUGUAACUGACGCUGAGGCGCGAAAGUGUGGGGAGCAAACAGGAUUAGAUACCCUGGUAGUCCACACGGUAAACGAUGAAUGCUAGGUGUAGGGGGUAUCGACCCCUUCUGUGCCGGAGUAAACACAAUAAGCAUUCCGCCUGGGGAGUACGGCCGCAAGGUUGAAACUCAAAGGAAUUGACGGGGGCCCGCACAAGCAGCGGAGCAUGUGGUUUAAUUCGAAGCAACGCGAAGAACCUUACCAGUUCUUGACAUCCAUUUUAAGCGGUAGAGAUACCGUGUCCCUUUCGGGGGGGAAAUGAGACAGGUGGUGCAUGGUUGUCGUCAGCUCGUGUCGUGAGAUGUUGGGUUAAGUCCCGCAACGAGCGCAACCCUUAUUUUUAGUUACUAACGCGUGAAGGCGAGGACUCUAAAGAGACUGCCGGGGACAACUCGGAGGAAGGUGGGGACGACGUCAAAUCAUCAUGCCCCUUAUGACCUGGGCUACACACGUGCUACAAUGGCCACUACAAAGAGGAGCGAGCCCGAGAGGGGGAGCGAAUCUCAUAAAAGUGGUCCCAGUUCAGAUUGUGGGCUGCAACCCGCCCACAUGAAGUCGGAGUUGCUAGUAAUCGCGGAUCAGCAUGCCGCGGUGAAUACGUUCCCGGGCCUUGUACACACCGCCCGUCACACCAUGGGAGUUGGGAGCACCCAAAGCCGGCGAGGUAACCGCAAGGAGCCAGCCGUCCAAGGUGAGACCAAUGACUGGGGUGAAGUCGUAACAAGGUAACC